ACUCUCUCAUUUCUUCAUAGUCGCACUUGUCUUCAUCAGUGUGACUUCAUAACAGGGAAAGAGAGAAAUGAUCUCAGGAACUCAGACUGGCCUUAUGGUGGCCUCUUUCCUUGAAAGGCUCAACAGGU
Molecule: small nucleolar RNA, 128 nt
Filed under: Microcebus murinus (gray mouse lemur)
Lineage: Eukaryota; Metazoa; Chordata; Mammalia; Primates; Cheirogaleidae
Description: Small nucleolar RNA SNORA64/SNORA10 family (ENSMICG00000021331.3)
Rfam family: Small nucleolar RNA SNORA64/SNORA10 family
About the family: This family belongs to the H/ACA class of small nucleolar RNAs (snoRNAs) which act as guides in the the modification of uridines to pseudouridines. This family includes the human snoRNAs U64 and ACA10 and mouse MBI-29.
Source: Rfam by way of RNAcentral